Non-coding RNA from Trachemys scripta elegans, 560 nucleotides. The record is from the annotation of a RefSeq genome assembly. Lineage: Eukaryota; Metazoa; Chordata; Testudines; Emydidae.
AUUCUCCAGCGCUGGGGAUUUAAGAGAGAAUCGGAGGGUCCCAGCCACAGACCCGUUUGUCUCAGGGAGCCGAGCUCGUCUGGAUUCCCCACCAUGGCCCGGGCCCCUCUGCUCCUCGCACUGCUCACUUACUGCUCAGGUUCUCUUGCCCAGUACGUGCUGACCCAGCCACCUGCAGUGUCUGUGUCUCCAGGACAAAGUGCUCAGCUCACCUGCUCAGGAGAAAAGUUUGACAAAUACUAUGUGCAGUGGUACCAGCAGAAACCUGGCCGUGCCCCCGUACUCAUUAUAUAUAAGGAUAGUGAGAGACCCUCUGGAAUCCCCGAGCGAUUCUCUGGGGCCAGCUCUGGUAAAACAGCCACGUUAACCAUCACUGGAGUCCAGGUGCAGGACGAGGCAGAUUAUUACUGUCAGGUGAGGGAUAGAGACAGUAGCACUCCUCACAGUGACACAGCCAGAUGGGGAAGUGAGACAAAAACUGCCUGUUGACACAGGGGACCAUUUAUUCAUGGACAGUUGAGAUUCAAGGUGCAGAUUAUCUUAUUCUGGCUGAUUAAUAU